AAAAAAAAAAAGAGGUAAGAGGGAACAGAGCCCCAAAGGACAGAGAAGAGAAAUAGGUUGGUAGAAAGGAAGAGAGAGUGCAUCUCAGGCAGGCCAUCCAGCUAAGCACAGGCAGGAAGGUGUCAGGCAGGGAAGGCCAGUGGGUGCACCAUCAUGGUUGUGGGAGAAGGACUGGGGAGAGGUGAGCCUGGAAGGCUGGGGGGAGCUUGUUAAGCACAGCUCCAGAGGCAGGCAGUAGGGAGCCGCUGCAGGUUCUGUCCCUACACAGGCAAGCAGGGGGUGGUCUUAACAACAUAGCACCUUCCAACGAAGAGAAGAUUUUCUAACUUCUUUUACAAGGUGGGAAAAAUAAAAGGUCAGAAGUGAGAGCCAGUGAAAGGGGGUUGGCUAGAGAAAGGCAUUACCCUGUACUUCCCCAUUCGUUCUCAUGCACACAUAGUGUUUAACCCAUGGAUAGAGGUAGGCAGGUAACACCUGCAGUACUGCAUCCUGAACUUGAUCUCCUGUGCUUAGAUAUCUGCAAACUGCCCUUGGGUACCAUCUGCAGUCAUUGCAUUGCUGGCUGCACACUCACCAUGCAGUAACAGAUUGUUGCUGGUCUAAACAACACUUGGAUGAAUAUCUCUGCUCCCUAGACUUCUGGAUUGUUUCCAUUGGAUACUUUUCCUGAAGGGGAACUUCUGACUUUAAGGGAACAGAAGUUUUUAUGCCUUAGAUUUAAAAUGCUCAUACUUUUUAACAGUAAAUUUCUUUAGAAUUUUCUAUAGGUUAUAUGGUAUGGUUUUUUGUUUUUUUUUUUCUCUCUCUCUCUCUUUUUUUUUAACCUUGAUAGGUGUACUCUUUAACCCCUAUCCCUUACUUCACCCAUGCCUCCACCCAGAUUGUACAGGGUAUGGGUUGGUUGGUUUUGUUUUGUUUUAAGAUUUAUUUAUCUUAGAGCUUGGAGGGGAGGGCAGAUGAGAGUGUCUUAAGCAGACUCCAUACUGAGCAUGGACCCUGACGCAGGGCUCAAUCUCACAACUCUUGAGAUCAAGACCUGAGUUGAAACCAAGAGUUGGAGGCUUAACUGUGCCAUCCAGGCACUCCGGUAUAGGAUUUUUUAAAAAGAGCAAAUGUACACAAGCAUAUACAAUAAAAAGUCUAUCCAGUCCAGUUCUCCCUAAGGACAAUUGUUAGUUUCCUGUAUAUCCUUCCAGAAAUAUUCUGUGCAGAUACUGUAUAUACCCAGUUUUCAGAAAAAUAGAUACAUAUUACACUCUGUUCAGCAAAUUGCUUUUUUUAUUCUUAAAUUUGGGGUUAUGAAGUACACCAAAGCAGCACAGAAAAUGACACCACACACACACACACACACACACACACACACACACACCCUGUAGCCCUAUACACAGGUUUAACAAAUGUUAUGUAACAUUUUGCGCUGGCAUCUUGUUUAAGGAAGUAACCCUAUGUCAGUGCAGCCCCAUGCAGAGGAGUCCAGUUUAUUGAGUAUAUGCACACAUUCUUUUCGGCCGUGCCCAGCUCUUGGAUAUUUAGAGUAUUACUGACUUUUUUCCUUAAAUAAUCGAUGCGGAGGUAAUACUCCACUUUGUAUGAUGCUGGCCCAGUGUUAAGGCCAAGGAGAACGAAGCUCAGCUGUUCAGCCACACUUUCUAGCUGUGUGACCUAGGGUGAGUGACCCCUUUGAUCCUCUUUACCCAUCUGUAAAAUGCUGCAGUAAUCCCUCCAUCUCAUCGCUGCUGGGAGGAGUACAGGAGUAGGUAACCGAAGACUUCAUUAAGCUUAGUUCGCCAAUACCCUUAAACAGGUUACCCUCCACAAGGGAGGCCAAGCUUUCCUGGCCACGCGCCGAGAGCUAUUAGAGCGGCGGACAACUGCAGCUCGGGCUUAAAACUGUUCCCCGCCCCUUUCCCGGGCCACGCUGGGGGCGGGGCGGUUAAGUGUCUCUGUGACGUCAGCGCACGCAAGACCAAUCCCCCUGCCUGGCAGGCGUUAGCUGCUUUGCAUGGGCUGCCCGCUAUUGGUUCGUUGGGCAACCCAGGCCCUCCCAGCUUUUUAAAGCUGCCGCGUAGUAUAAACAAGGAGAUGCACAGCGGCCAGGCCAUGAUGUCAUCGCGGCGCGGUAGCUCUUGGGGCUGACGUCAUCUCCGGGGAGGUUGCCGACCCAAGGCUGUUAGAGCCUUCCUAACCCAGUUGGGCUGGCUUAAGAGGCCGCUCCUGCCCCGUCGAAGGCCAGUCCCAUUGCACUUCAGUGUCCCUGGCGGCGCCCCGUCCCCGAAGAGAAGACCAUGACACAGGUUGUGAGCCCUGGCCCAGCCCCUCCACCCCACUGCCACCCCUGAUGCGACCAUGGGCUCUGGCAGUGACUAGGUGGCCACCCUCUGCCCCUGUGGGUCAGCGGCGAUUCUCUGUAGGACCUGGCAGUACCCCGGGCCAGCUCCGGGGAAGUCCUACUGGGGCCUCCUCUCUGUGGUGCAGCCCCAGCCGCGAGGGCCCCCUGGCCAGCCUGCCUGCCCAGGAUGAGCGCUUACCCUCCCAGCAGCCACUACCCCGGCCACACCUCCCUGUAGAGGAGCACCGAGCCUCGGCUCCUGCCGGCAGGAGCCCCCGAAUGCUGCACCCAGCCUCCCAACAGAGCCCGUUCAUGGUUGAUCUCCACGAGCAGGUGCACCAGGGACCCGUCCCUCUGUCCUACACAGUCACCACGGUGACAACCCAAGGCUUCCCCUUGCCUACAGGCCAACACAUCCCUGGCUGCAGUGCCCAGCAGCUCCCAGCAUGCUCCGUGAUGUUCAGUGGGCAGCACUACCCCCUCUGCUGCCUCCCACCCCCGCCCCUGCAGCGGCUUGACAACGAUGUGGACCUGCGGGGGGACCAGCACCCCCUGGGGAGCUUCACCUACUCCACCUCUGCCCCAGGCCCAGCCCUGUCCCCAUCUGUGCCCCUGCACUACCUGCCCCAUGAUCCACUGCACCAGGAGCUAUCCUUUGGUGUGCCAUAUUCCCACAUGAUGCCACGGAGACUGAGCACCCAGAGAUACCGCCUGCAACAGCCACUGCCCCCGCCACCCCCACCGCCACCCCCGCCACCGUAUUACCCCAGCUUCCUGCCCUACUUUCUCUCGAUGCUGCCAAUGUCACCAACAGCAAUGGGGCCCACCAUCAGCCUGGAUCUCGAUGUGGAUGACGUGGAGAUGGAGAACUAUGAGGCCCUCCUGAACCUGGCAGAGCGACUAGGAGAUGCCAAGCCUCGAGGCCUCACCAAAGCGGACAUUGAGCAGCUCCCAUCAUACCGCUUUAACCCAGACAGCCAUCAGUCAGAGCAGACACUGUGUGUUGUCUGCUUCAGUGACUUUGAGGCACGGCAGCUGCUGCGAGUCCUCCCCUGCAACCACGAGUUCCACACCAAGUGUGUCGACAAGUGGUUAAAGGGGUGCACACCACAAGUCCUUGGACAGAAGAUGGAGCUCCAGGACCAGAUGUUCUCUUACCCCUUUGGCCCUGGUACCUCAAAACCCUCUGAACUCAGCCUGUAUACUCAUGGACAAGACUCUGAGUUCUUCUCUGGGCACAGAAGAAAAGACACCCACAAGACAGAAGGGAAAGAAGAAGCAGGUAACGUCACUGAACAAUUUUGAAGUGAAAAAGGAAGAGGAUGAAGUUCUGUGACAAGAUCUCAAAUUCCUCAGGAAGUAGGCUGUAAUGUGUUGAGAGUGAGGAGGAUGCAGGAUGAACUAUUAGCAGGGGGCAAGCUACAGACUGUUGAAAACAGUAAUAGGAGCUAUAACUUACUGAACAUCUAUUGCAUGCUAAAUAACUGCAGCAGCAAUUCACUUCAUCUGGACUGCAAGGCUACAACCCAUUUUACAGAUGAUGAAAGUGAAGCCUACAGAGUUGAAGUCACAGCCAGGAUUUGAAACCAGGCGCAGUACAAGUUGGGACACUGCAUCCUUUGUGGAUGGAUUUCCUGUUGCUGCGUUCCUCACAAGUCCUAAAAAAAAACCAGUUGCAAAGUGGAGCUCCUUGUUCAAGCACCAGGUCCCAUUGAGUUCCGAGGUCCUUGGGAGUAACAGAUUGUACUGGCUUUAAGUGACAAAAUGUUCAUCCUUCAUGGAGGAGGAAGGGAGAUGACACCUAUGCAGCAGCCCUACGGUAAGGAGACAGGAAUGGAGUCUGAACAAAGCACGCUUGUUUCAACAUAGACUAGGAAGGAACAUGUGCUUCAGAUAAAACUUCCUGAAACCUAAAGUAAAUAGGUAAGCCAUCCCAAGAACUCUACCGACAUACACUUUUUCUUAAUAGUCUGGCAUCUGACCUCCUUCACUGAACAAGUAUCGAAAGGCCAAGAGACAUAAAGUGCAUGUUGUAGAAUAAGAUGCAGACUGAAUUAAGGAAAAAGUUUUACAACUUCCCAAAGAGGUGUGGGCAAAACACCCAAAACAAUACCCAACCUAGAGAAGGCCCUUAAUAUCCUGCCCUUCUGUGUACUGCUAGGGAAACAGCUAUGAGUUUGACAGGGAGGGAGACUCAGAGUUAUGUGGAAAAAUUCCUCUUUGCAUGGUUGUAAGCAGGAAGCAGACUUCACAUAAGGCUGAAUAGAGAAUAUGCUUUAUCCUGGUAUUCAUUCCAGAUACCUUUCAUGCCAACAGUGACUUCCCACUCAUCUGGCCUUGAGGCAGCAGUAAACAAAAUGGAAUAAUAGGCAGCCAGGAGCAGAACUAAAUUAAAUUUUCCUAGAGAUGGUGUUUUAGACAUCUGUGCCAAGACCACUGGGUAAUUCCCAGGCUCCCUAGGUGGUGCCUUGUGAGGUUCCUUAUCCCAUCCCUUACCCAUGUUUACCCCAACCACUGUGGGAUGCAGAGGAGAAGUCACAUACAUCAGUGCUACCUAAAAGAGUUGCCCUUAGAUUUUUAGGUAAGCAAGAGAGAAAGCCUUUGGAGACUGCAAAUCUACCAAGUUAUGUUUUAUCUUGAUAUGGGCCCUGGCCUCAAAGCAUGCUAGGCUCUAGUUACUUCAGUAGGUUGCUGUGUUACAAGUCUGCACCAGUCUAGCUAUAGAACACUUUGGAAUAUUUGCCAGCUCACGCUGACAUCUGUUAAUAAUACAUGGCAUGACCCAUGUACCCAUUACCAUAAACUCAACCAAAGAAGAGACAUCCAUCCUGAAGUUUAAAAACCCCUAUUACCUCAACACAGCAACAGAGGGAGAGGAUUAAAAACUGCUUCCAGCAGGUGGCUAUAUCAGAAACUAACUGUACCUUCCAACAGUUUACACACACCUGGAGUUCUGUCUUGGCUCCCUUCAAGGUUUCUAGUUCUAUCCUUGAACCAACACCACCACCACCCUCCCACUGAGACAGGCAGGGCACCAUCAUGGGGUUCUGCUGGUUCUACCAUUGACCCUGCUAGUCCUUUGGGAAGGCACCAAGAUUGGCAACUCAGGAACACUCAGGGAUGGGCAGGAAGAGCACGUACACAUCAGAAGAGGAAUGAAGAGCUGCUAUCCUUUGGUUCAAAUUGCAUAAUAACCAUCUAGUACAGAUUCCAAGGGACAACUACAGUUAUGUGUAUAAUGAGUAUACACAGAGUUCACACUGCAUAUAUGGGGAUAUCUGUACAGAGACUUUGUGGGGCAAUGAACCCAGAUUUCCUCCCAAUACUCCAAGCGAGGCACAAUAGAUGCUAAGAAAGGACAGCAAGAGUUGGACCAAAAAGAACAACCUCUCUAGGAAUGUGAGAGGGACAAUGGCAAAAAUAAGCACAAACCAGCCCAGGUCACCUUUAUUACACUCUUAUGGGCUAAGGAGCCCAGGGCAUGAACUCAUGGGCUUAAGAAUUGGCUUUUUAUCAAAUAAAAGUUAAGAACACCUAUGUCAGCCUCAUUCCUUUGGUCAUUACAAAGCAACAAAAAAUGUUUAGAAGUUAUUCAUAAAUUGUGGGAAGUUCAAGGAACAUCUCUGUUCUGUGCCUUCUCUUCCCUCUUCUCUGGUGGUGGGAGAAGCAAGUCCUCAGGAGAUGCUGCAGUAGUAGCUGGUCGAUGUUUUUUCCACUUUUAUUUUCCAUAAAAGCAAGAAUGAAUGAGAACUAGUGGGAAUUUCCCCUUCC
RNA transcript from Canis lupus familiaris (dog), 6100 nucleotides. It is a transcript of the gene named ring finger protein 44, with no coding region annotated. The transcript has 14 exons. Lineage: Eukaryota; Metazoa; Chordata; Mammalia; Carnivora; Canidae. The record is from RefSeq and is a predicted model, not a curated record.